GGGGCUGUAGCUCAGUUGGUUAGAGCAGGGGACUCAUAAUCCCUUGGUCGCGGGUUCGAGCCCCGCCGGCCCCA
Molecule: transfer RNA, 74 nt
Filed under: Microthrixaceae bacterium
Lineage: Bacteria; Bacillati; Actinomycetota; Acidimicrobiia; Acidimicrobiales; Microthrixaceae
Description: tRNA-Ile
Rfam family: tRNA
About the family: Transfer RNA (tRNA) molecules are approximately 80 nucleotides in length.
Source: RNAcentral